UACGAAGGGGGCUAGCGUUGCUCGGAAUCACUGGGCGUAAAGGGUGCGUAGGCGGGUCUUUAAGUCAGAGGUGAAAUCCUGGAGCUCAACUCCAGAACUGCCUUUGAUACUGAGGGUCUUGAGUAUGACAGAGGUGAGUGGAACUGCGAGUGUAGAGGUGAAAUUCGUAGAUAUUCGCAAGAACACCAGUGGCGAAGGCGGCUCACUGGCCCGAUACUGACGCUGAGGCACGAAAAGCGUGGGGGAGCAAACAGG
RNAcentral lists this ribosomal RNA (255 nucleotides) under uncultured bacterium. RNAcentral's name for it is "partial 16S ribosomal RNA". It matches the Rfam family "Bacterial small subunit ribosomal RNA", at positions 524 to 776 of the family's 1533-position model. The record is from RNAcentral.